GACGAACGCUGGCGGCGUGCUUAACACAUGCAAGUCGAACGGAAAGGCCCUGCUUUUGUGGGGUGCUCGAGUGGCGAAAGGGUGAGUAACACGUGAGUAACCUGCCCUUGACUUUGGGAUAACUUCAGGAAACUGGGGCUAAUACCGGAUAGGAGCUCCUGCUGCAUGGUGGGGGUGGGAAAGAUUCGGCGGUUGGGGAUGGACUCGCGGCUUAUCAGCUUGUUGGUGGGGUAGUGGCGUACCAAGGCUUUGACGGGUAGCCGGCCUGAGAGGGUGACCGGCCACAUUGGGACUGGGAUACGGCCCAGACUCCUACGGGAGGCAGCAGUGGGGAAUAUUGCACAAUGGGCGGAAGCCUGAUGCAGCAACGCCGCGUGCUGGAUGACGGCCUUCGGGUUGUAACCCGCUUUCGCCUGUGACGAAGCGUGAGUGGCGGUAAUGGGUAAAGAAGCACCGGCUAACUACGUG
RNAcentral lists this ribosomal RNA (468 nucleotides) under uncultured bacterium. Its description in RNAcentral is "partial 16S ribosomal RNA". It matches the Rfam family "Bacterial small subunit ribosomal RNA", at positions 28 to 507 of the family's 1533-position model. The record is from RNAcentral.